Molecule: long non-coding RNA, 2555 nt
Organism: Penaeus indicus
Lineage: Eukaryota; Metazoa; Arthropoda; Malacostraca; Decapoda; Penaeidae
Exons: 3
Source: RefSeq, a predicted model, not a curated record
UCUGAAGAGGAUUUGUUUUGGUCGCAACAUCAGCUGUCGGCUCAUGGGCGUAUUUCUGGUGACCUGCUGUUCAACAUUUUUGUUGAUUCUUUGAGGAACUCUUGUGACAGCAACUUACUUUAUAUAGUGGACUUCAGAGGCAAACCUCAUUGAUGAUGAUAUUAAGAAGAUGGUAGUGUGGCGCCGCAUAAAGAAUGGCAUGUCUGUGAUUUUGCUGUUGGCAUUUAUUUUUUAUGUUGGUUAUUGUACAAAAGAACUGUACACCCGCAUAUUAAACAACCGUAAAUACGGUCGCCUCAUAGAAUAUGAAAAGGAGAUUGAUGCCCUGACCAACAUGCUGGGGGAUUACAAGAAAGACGCCAACAAAGUGCAGCGAAGCCUCCAGCUCUUACGUGAGGCUCUUGACCAGGUGGUAGUAAACAGAAGACCAAAAAGUAUUAGUGAUAGAUGAUGUCUGUUGAUAAACCCAGAUGAGGUUACCUGAAGAUCUGUAUACUAGGGAUAAUAUUUUUAGGUGUAGUAUGUGCUUGUCUUUAGCUCUAUACAGAUGAGGGUAUAAUUCAGACUCAGGAUAGUGAGACAGGAGUGUGAACUCUCUCAUUUAUCUUCUUUCUGCCAAAAUCUUUGUUUACUAAAAUAAUAACUUCUUUCAUCAGCAUGGCAUUAUUGCAAAUGCUGGGAUAUGGCAAGUCCUUCUUUCUUAUCUUUUACAUUUCUGUUCAUUCUUCCUGUCCUCCAUCUUUGGAUAUUUGGCAAUCUACUUGUCUUUUAUUUCAAAACUCAAGCAUGUAAAUGUCAAAUUAAAGGCCACAAUGAGAUAUUAAUGGGGAAUAUGGGAAAGGAUUCCCAGUCUUUGUUUUUUCUGUGGCUAUUCAAAUUAAUGAUCACAAUGAGAUAUUAAUGGGGAAUAUGAUAAAGGAUUCCCUGACUGUUUUUUUCUCUGUGGAUAUUUCUACUGUGUAAUUAAAUUAAAUUGGUGCACAAAGUUAGAAAUAGUGGUCUGUAGAUUGUCAGCUGUAGAUUUAGAAAAAUAUUGAUAUUAGCAAUCUUCCUAAAUUUGUUGAUAUUUUUUUAGGAAAUUAAAUUGUUUAUUAGUGCUUUUCCAUAAUGAGGUUUAUGGUUAGAGCCUUCUGUGAUAGAAACUUUUGUAGAUGACACAGUUGAUGAUUUGUCACUGUUCCCAUAGAUAUAAAAUGUAUGGGAGACUUUAUAUAUAUCUAACUAACACACUUGUAGAUUCCUUUUAGGAUUAAGUUAUGCCUGGUUAUUAAUUCUGUAUCGUAUAGUGAUUUAACAGUAUAUGUCUUUCUUUGAAGAGGAUUCAGUAUAUUUAAAGUAACCAAAUCCUCCUUUUUCCCAGUAUCAAGUUAUCUAUGAUACAUCUGACCUGCACUUGACUAGAUCUCUCCAUGGUUUAGCAGGUUACGGUAAUGAUGGCAUCAACCUUAUCCUAUGUAUGUAAUUAAGGCUUAUAUUUAUUAGCAGUUUCAUUUAUACUGAGAUUACCCCUUUGAGUGCGGCUCUUAGUUUAUAUUUGGCAUGAUUGAGAGAGAAGUGUGAGCUUCAGUUUGUACUACUUAUAAGGUGCAUUUAUAUUUGAAUACUUUGAUAUGCCAGUAUCAUGAGAAAAAAUUCAAAAUCCCCUUGUAUCCAGUCAUCCAUCAGAGUGUAACAAAUAUCCUACUUUUGUAGAGUUCCUGGUUCUUCCUUAAUUUUUGUUACAUGUUUGCAUAUUACAGUUAUGUAGUAAAAAUCAAAGCCUGCUAUAGUACUCCAUAUACCCAUCAUUAUUUGUAUAUGAUUAGAUGCACGUAAAGGUGUUUCUCAUAUAUAUAUUCCAAGCUUAUAUGGGGGAAGUUUUUAUAUUUGUGCAUCUUGCAUACACUUAUUGUGGUACUUAAAGACUUGAUCAACUUUUUAUCUAAAAUAUUGUUACUUUGAUUAAUGAAGGGAAAAUGGAAUUACCAUGCCUUUGGACAAUUAUUCUUCAAAAUGUAAUUUUAUUUGUUUUUCCCCAGAAGCCAUGUUUUCUAUUUACAUAUUGUUUAAACUUUGUUCCCCUAGAUUAGUUUUUUCCCAAAGUAUUGUCAUUUCAUUGUAGUAAAUACUAGGUUUUCAUUUGUAGAAAGACAGGUAUUUCUCACAAAAGAAGCAACUAUUUUUAGGAACUGCUUGUUUACAAUGUAGAUUUUGAUAAAUUAACAAUGCAGCUAUUCAUAGUCUAGAACAUAAUGUAUUUUGUUGUAGUGAGAUCCCCCCCCCCCCACAGACACACAUCCCAAAAAAAAGGUAGCAACAAUGCAUGAUUAAAAAAUUAAAGACUGAUAUCUUUUGCUACUGAUGAUUCAUCUGGUACUUUUAAUUUAUAGUAUUUGACUUAUACAAUUUGUUAAACACUCUGUAUAUAGUUUAUCAGUACAAGGCAUCUCUAGAAUUCCAAAAUGAAGUUAGUUAUUGUUAUAUAUAUACCCUGUGGUGUAGCUGAAGGGGUGUAGGGCAAUUUUUCAUUCCCCACCCCUCAUACCCCUGAUGUAAGGGACGAGGACUAAUUCUUU